AACAAUUUUUGAGGCGUACCGACGAGAAUAAAAGGUUGCUAACUCUGUGCCAUCAGCAACGGUAAUACAGAGACCUCAAGCGUUAUCCGGAAUCAUUGGGCGUAAAGCGUACCGAUAGGUGGUUUGAAAAGCCAGAAGUGAAAUCCACGAGCUUAACUCGUGAUCUGUCUUUUGGAACUUUCGAACUAGAGGGGCAAAGAGGAAGCUGGAACGAACGGUGUAGUAAUGAAAUGCGUUGAUAUCGAUCGGAACACCAAUAGCGUAAGCAGGCUUCUGGGUGCCACCUGACACUGCUAGGACUAAAGCGUGGGGAACGAAUGGGAUUAUAUACCCC
This 334-nucleotide ribosomal RNA is filed under the name uncultured bacterium. Its description in RNAcentral is "bacterial SSU rRNA". It matches the Rfam family "Bacterial small subunit ribosomal RNA", at positions 459 to 788 of the family's 1533-position model. The record is from RNAcentral.